This 219-nucleotide long non-coding RNA is filed under the name Carica papaya (papaya). Its description in RNAcentral is "long non-coding RNA (CPAP_LNC011581)". Lineage: Eukaryota; Viridiplantae; Streptophyta; Magnoliopsida; Brassicales; Caricaceae. The record is from RNAcentral.
GACGCUUGUCCAUGCGCAAGGUGAUGCACGGACAUGCGAGUAGGUCCUGACCCCGCGUCGUGCGCAUAGAUGGGAUGUGCGCGCUGUGUGCACAUCCCGCGGCACUAUGCACACAUGUGCGUGUGCACAAUGCUUAGCACCUGCGCGGACAACUAGCUUUCUCAUGGGAAUUUCCCGUGGGAAUUUUUUUUUUCCGUUUCGCUAUUUUUUUAUUUUGUU